Molecule: ribosomal RNA, 206 nt
Filed under: uncultured bacterium
Lineage: Bacteria
Description: partial 16S ribosomal RNA
Rfam family: Bacterial small subunit ribosomal RNA
Source: RNAcentral
UGCGUAGGCGGCUUGGUAAGUCAGAUGUGAAAUCCUGGGGCUCAACCUCGGAACUGCAUUUGAUACUGCCAGGCUAGAGUACUGGAGAGGAGACUGGAAUUUACGGUGUAGCAGUGAAAUGCGUAGAUAUCGUAAGGAAGGCCAGUGGCGAAGGCGAGUCUCUGGACAGUAACUGACGCUGAGGCACGAAGCGUAGGGAGCGAACG